Molecule: ribosomal RNA, 405 nt
Filed under: uncultured prokaryote
Description: bacterial SSU rRNA
Rfam family: Bacterial small subunit ribosomal RNA
Source: RNAcentral
UGGGGAAUAUUGGGCAAUGGGCGCAAGCCUGACCCAGCAACGCCGCGUGAGGGAAGAAGGUCUUCGGAUUGUAAACCUCUGUCCUUGGGGACGAAAAAAAUGACGGUACCCAAGGAGGAAGCUCCGGCUAACUACGUGCCAGCAGCCGCGGUAAUACGUAGGGAGCGAGCGUUGUCCGGAAUUACUGGGCGUAAAGGGUGCGUAGGCGGCUUGGCAAGUCAGAUGUGAAAUCCCCGGGCUUAACUCGGGAGUUGCAUUUGAAACUGCUAGGCUUGAGUGCAGGAGAGGAAAGUGGAAUUCCUAGUGUAGCGGUGAAAUGCGUAGAUAUUAGGAGGAACACCAGUGGCGAAGGCGGCUUUCUGGACUGUAACUGACGCUGAGGCACGAAAGCGUGGGGAGCAAACA